This 467-nucleotide ribosomal RNA is filed under the name uncultured bacterium. RNAcentral describes it as "partial 16S ribosomal RNA". It matches the Rfam family "Bacterial small subunit ribosomal RNA", at positions 28 to 506 of the family's 1533-position model. The record is from RNAcentral.
GACGAACGCUGGCGGCGUGCUUAACACAUGCAAGUCGAACGGAAAGGCCCUGCUUUUGUGGGGUGCUCGAGCGGCGAACGGGUGAGUAACACGUGAGUAACCUGCCCUUGACUUUGGGAUAACUUCAGGAAACUGGGGCUAAUACCGGAUAGGAGCUCCUGCUGCAUGGUGGGGGUUGGAAAGUUUCGGCGGUUGGGGAUGGACUCGCGGCUUAUCAGCUUGUUGGUGGGGUAGUGGCUUACCAAGGCUUUGACGGGUAGCCGGCCUGAGAGGGUGACCGGCCACAUUGGGACUGAGAUACGGCCCAGACUCCUACGGGAGGCAGCAGUGGGGAAUAUUGCACAAUGGGCGGAAGCCUGAUGCAGCAACGCCGCGUGCGGGAUGACGGCCUUCGGGUUGUAAACCGCUUUCGCCUGUGACGAAGCGUGAGUGACGGUAAUGGGUAAAGAAGCACCGGCUAACUACGU